GAGGGGAUAGCUCAGUGGUAGAGUGUGUGCUUAGCAUGUACUAGGUCCUGGGUUCAAUCCCCACUACCUCCA
Molecule: transfer RNA, 72 nt
Filed under: Camelus bactrianus (Bactrian camel)
Lineage: Eukaryota; Metazoa; Chordata; Mammalia; Artiodactyla; Camelidae
Also listed under: 2 other names
Rfam family: tRNA
About the family: Transfer RNA (tRNA) molecules are approximately 80 nucleotides in length. Their secondary structure includes four short double-helical elements and three loops (D, anti-codon, and T loops).
Source: Rfam by way of RNAcentral